Molecule: ribosomal RNA, 775 nt
Filed under: uncultured Neocallimastigales
Lineage: Eukaryota; Fungi; Neocallimastigomycota; Neocallimastigomycetes; Neocallimastigales
Description: partial large subunit ribosomal RNA
Rfam family: Eukaryotic large subunit ribosomal RNA
Source: RNAcentral
UAUGUGAUCGUCUCUCGCAUAUCAAUAAGCGGAGGAAAAGAAACUAACAAGGAUUCCCCUAGUAACGGCGAGUGAAGCGGGAAGAGCUCAAAUUUGAAAUCUUAAAGGGUUUCCCUUUACGAAUUGUAGUUUAAAGAAGUGUUUUCUGUUGAGGUUUUGGUAAAAGUUCUUUGGAAUAGGACAUCAUAGAGGGUGAGAAUCCCGUAUUUGACCUUUACUUUCAACUUUGUGAUACACUUUCAAAGAGUCGGAUUGUUUGGGAAUGCAGUCCAAAAUGGGUGGUAAAUUUCAUCUAAAGCUAAAUAUUGGCGAGAGACCGAUAGCGAACAAGUACCGUGAGGGAAAGAUGAAAAGAACUUUGAAAAGAGAGUUAAACAGUACGUGAAAUUGUCAAAAGGGAAGCGUUUGACACCAGUGUUGUUUUUCUGAAAAUCAAUUAAAGAACUGUUUAUGCUAAGUUGUUUAGACUUUAUCAGCUAUCUGUUUAGUUUUGAGCUUUUCUUUAAUGCACUUUUCAGUUAACAAGUCAACAUCAAUUUCUUUUGCUGUAAAAAAGCUUGAGGAAGAUGGCUUGAGAUUCGUCUUAAGUGUUUAUAGCCUCUUGCCUAUGCAGUCGGAGAGAUUGAGGUCUGCAGGCGUAGAUCCUUCGGGGCUAAAUGCAUUUGUGCUAAGUUAUAGCAUUUUAUAGACAACUUGUUGACUAUGAUUUGUCUUGUAGCUUACUCGCUUAUGUUAUUUUACCUACGCUUAGGAUGUUGACACACGCGCGUGCUCG